UUGCUUUGGCAGCAAAUAUACUAAAAUUGGAGUGGUACAGAAAGAUUAGCAUGACCCCUGUGCAGGAUGAAAUGCAAAUUUGUAAACCAUUCCAUAUUUUU
RNAcentral lists this small nuclear RNA (101 nucleotides) under Ornithorhynchus anatinus (platypus). Lineage: Eukaryota; Metazoa; Chordata; Mammalia; Monotremata; Ornithorhynchidae. The record is from RNAcentral.